GGGAGGAGUGCGCCGGCGCGGGUAAGAUGGCGGACGAUAAGGACACACUGGGUAAGCUGAAGGACCUUGCACAGCUGAAGGGUCAACUGGAGAGCAUCCAGCGGAAGGUGGAGGAGGAGGUCCAGAUGGGACUGCCGAAUAUGUUAUUGAUUGUAAAUAUGAUUCCAUUACCAUCUCUCACCAUGCACCUUUGAAGCUAUCUAUUAAGACAAUGGAUUCAUCUUCUAAUGCUAAAUCUUGGAGGUUUAACUCUACUGCAGAACUCAGACUUUCUUAACUUCAUUAAACAACAAAUUGAUUUGUUUUUUUCAACAAAUUCUACAGAAGAGAUCUCGAGUGGAACAUUAUGGGACACUUUUAAAGCAUUUAAUCGUGGACAGAUUAUUUUAUACUCUGCUGGAGUUAGGAAACGAACUAAUACUGAAAUAUUGCCAUUGAUCGAUAAAAUUAAAGAAAUUGAUAAGAUUUAUUCAGUGACCCCCAGUAAAGAACUUUAUAAAGAGAGAGUUGAACUUCAAAUGGAGCAUAGUUAGUUAUUAUCCUCUUUGAAAAUCAGUUAAUUAAAUCUGGAACCCAGUUUUAUGUACAUGCAGAUAAAUCUGGCAAAUUAUUGACUAAUCAAUUGAAAACUGCUUCGGUUAAACGACAAAUCACUAAGAUUUGUAAACAAGAUGGCACUUUGAUUGAUCAUAAAGAGAUAAAUAAAGCCUUUCAAAAUUUUUAUAAUUCUUUAUAUCAAUCAGAAUUUGUUGAGGAUUCUUCCAUAAUGGAUGAACUUUUAAGAAAAUUGAAUAUCCCAAAACUAACAACAGAAGAUAGUGUACUUCUAGAUGCACCUAUUACGGAAACCGAAAUAAAAGAGGCUAUUUUUUCACUGAAUUCAGGUAAAGCCCCUGAUCCGGGCAGUUAUACUGCUGAAUUUUUUAAAUCCUUCUCUUCUACACUCUCUCCUUGGCUUUGUAAAAUUUUUAAAGAUGCGUUAACUGUAGGUAAAUUACCACAAUCUUUUAUGGUGCCUCCAUUGCUCUAAUUCUUAAAAAAGAUAAAGACCCCACUGAAUGUGCA
This is an RNA transcript of Hypanus sabinus (Atlantic stingray), 1065 nucleotides long. It is a transcript of the gene named SLC35A4 upstream open reading frame protein, with no coding region annotated. The transcript is spliced from 3 exons. The record is from RefSeq and is a predicted model, not a curated record. Lineage: Eukaryota; Metazoa; Chordata; Chondrichthyes; Myliobatiformes; Dasyatidae.